Molecule: ribosomal RNA, 497 nt
Filed under: uncultured bacterium
Lineage: Bacteria
Description: partial 16S ribosomal RNA
Rfam family: Bacterial small subunit ribosomal RNA
Source: RNAcentral
GAUGAACGCUGGCGGCGUGCCUAAUACAUGCAAGUCGAGCGAACGGACGAGAAGCUUGCUUCUCUGAUGUUAGCGGCGGACGGGUGAGUAACACGUGGAUAACCUACCUAUAAGACUGGGAUAACUUCGGGAAACCGGAGCUAAUACCGGAUAAUAUUUUGAACCGCAUGGUUCAAAAGUGAAAGACGGUCUUGCUGUCACUUAUAGAUGGAUCCGCGCUGCAUUAGCUAGUUGGUAAGGUAACGGCUUACCAAGGCAACGAUGCAUAGCCGACCUGAGAGGGUGAUCGGCCACACUGGAACUGAGACACGGUCCAGACUCCUACGGGAGGCAGCAGUAGGGAAUCUUCCGCAAUGGGCGAAAGCCUGACGGAGCAACGCCGCGUGAGUGAUGAAGGUCUUCGGGUCGUAAAACUCUGUUAUUAGGGAAGAACAUAUGUGUAAGUAACUGUGCACAUCUUGACGGUACCUAAUCAGAAAGCCACGGCUAACAACGUG